GCAAUCCUUUCUCAGUCAUGAACCAAAGUGAGGAGUCUUUCCAACCAUGUCUGUAAUGCAAGGAUGUGCAUGAUAUGCAUGAGGUGCAUGAUAUGGGUACUAUUUUGUCAUGAAUGAUCCUGAUAAAGGAUAUGCGUAUGCGAGUUAACUUUUUUUCUUUUUUUUUUUCAUGCAUUAUUAUUUUUUGAAAAUAAACAUGCUAUGAUGCAAAUGAUGCAACAUGACUGGUCAGGCUGUGCAUCUCGGAGCACAGGAUCAAAGCUUCGGCUUGAAUUCUG
This 278-nucleotide long non-coding RNA is filed under the name Lathyrus oleraceus (garden pea). RNAcentral describes it as "Pisum sativum (pea) long non-coding RNA (PSAT_LNC041590)". Lineage: Eukaryota; Viridiplantae; Streptophyta; Magnoliopsida; Fabales; Fabaceae. The record is from RNAcentral.